UAUUUCCUUGAUUCAAUGUUAUUUUUUUAUUUAUUAUUUUCUAAAGUUUCUAAUAUAAAUGGGAGAAGCUUAUAUGAUUAAUCUAAUAAUACUAUAGAAGUUUUAGAAGGAUUAUGACUGGCUGCUUGUACAACCAACAGUCCGAGAGCAAUUUGGCUACCUGGGGAUACUGAUUUGCUCCUGAUAGUUUAACAGCGCUUUUGUUUAAGGUUAUGUUAAUAACGGUGAUUUUCAUGUGUGUUGAACAGUUCAUUUGCGUCUAUUUGCUUUAAGGUUAUGUUAGUAUUGAGAAUGUGAAUUGAGAUUAUACAUGAAAUUUGCCCUACUGUGCAUUUGAAAGAAAAAAACCUACUGUGCAUUGGUAUUUUGAGCAGCCCCGAAACCAUAUCAUUUGUGAAUUGGAUUGAAUUUCUGAAGGCUGCUGCUGCCGUAUUACAACAUAUAUAUGCAUUGAAUUUUUCUUUUUCUAAUUGUGCAGAUGUCCCAGCUUAUUAGAAGUCGUAAGGCGAUGACGACUGCACCCUAUUCGAUUCUCCCACCUCCUACUUCAGCCGCCAUUACUCCAACAGAAAUGGACCCCAGGCCGGUUGAUCCGGUUGGUCCCCGGGUCUCCCAUGCGCCGAUGUCAUCAGCCUCUUCAAUGGCACUAUCUGUUAGCGCCAGGUGUGGUCACCGCCGCCCCCGCACACCCGACAUGACAUCGACAUCCACUACUAAUGCCUCGAGGUCACAACAAGGUAAAGUUAAUUUUGUUCCAAAUUGGAGCUAGAGCUACUUUAAGUUCAAUCUUUAGUUUGUUAGUUGGGUAAGUAGAAGGAAAAGGUGUCAAGCUGAUAAUUUAGUUUUCAAUGCAUGUCCUUUAUAUAAAGGAUUCUCAUCUGAAUGAUCAUGGUAGGCAUUAGGUCGUUAGUCCUCAAGUAUUGAAGCAAUUCAUAAUAGCAUUUGAAUUUGCUGCUUGAAUUCCCAGGUUCUACUAUGUAUUAUUUCACUUGGCGUCCACUACUGAAGCAUUCAACUAUUGUGAUUGUUGUUGGAUAUCAUAUAUUAUUAAUUACAAUGUACAGGGUUUGGGAAAUGUUAUAACUUUAGGGGAGGUUCUACCAAAAUUUCGGUAUAAUUUGUAGUGUUUGUUUGACUAUUUUUUUUUUCAGCAAAGAAAAAUAGCCGGGGACCUUGUCGCUAGUUGAAGAUGGUGAAGGUCACCCGGGUGACCAACGAACGUAUCACGAUUGGAUACGACGACCAGCAUCGAGCUACACCAACACCGAAGUAGCAUAGUGCAUUGGCCCACGACAUUGGUCAUGUCGUUCGAACUUAUUGCCCUAUGCAAUGGAAGUUUUGGAAGGCGAUGCCAGACAAGGUGAGGACAAAGGUGCACGAUUAUUUGUCGACAAACUACAAUUUCGACGACAUCAACGACAAUAUGUUGGCGUACAUCAACAGGCUCUUCGUUGAACGGUAUAGCAGUGGAAGAGUGACCUGCACCAAUAUUUUCAGACAUUUGAUGAUCCACAAGUCACUCUUGAGGAGGCUUGCCCGAAGGAGUUUGAGGACCGGAAAGAAAAUUAGAAGAAGGCGAAAGCCAACAAGAUCAAUCAGGAGAAAAAGACUCUUAUCCACCAUUCGGGUUUGAGGCCCUUCUCAUAUAGGAUGGAGGCGCGGCGGCAGGGGGGUUCAAAAUUCUCGGAGAUUGAUGUCUUUGCAGACGUUUAUGUUCGACCCAGGAAUGAGUUGGUUGAGUCCCUUCAUGUGACGAUGAUGGAGAAGAGGUAGUUGGUUUUUUAGGAGUCUGCCUCUUAGCUUCCUCCCGAGACUCCGCUCGAGUCUAUGGAUAUCCCCGAGGAUGGGGAAUGCCCGACGGUCGGGAACCUAGAGCUUCUUCAUCUUCGCAGUCGAAAGGCGAGGUCACAGCUUUGACAAAAAAGGUGGUCGGCCUUAGGACUGAGCUCGCCUUGUAUAAGAGCCAGAUGUCACUAAUUGUACAGGCCCUCAGUCAAUCCGGCAUUCGUCUCCUGGAUAUUCACCCUCGUCAACAUUCGAGCCCCUCUAACCCAAGCAUGCCAAGAACUCCUCCCCUUGGAUCUUUGAGCCCAUCCUCAACCCCGAACCCUUCUUGCCUUAAUCCUUCCAGCCGUAUGCAAACGACGACCUGGUAGAUUAUUCCUCUUUUUUUUUCUUAGUUGUUUAGUCCCUUACUUUUAAAACUUUUUCCUU
Malus domestica (apple) is the source of this 2214-nucleotide long non-coding RNA. RefSeq lists it as uncharacterized. NCBI's taxonomy places the organism in Eukaryota, Viridiplantae, Streptophyta, Magnoliopsida, Rosales, Rosaceae. The record is from RefSeq and is a predicted model, not a curated record.